UUUGAUCCUGGCUCAGAUUGAACGCUGGCGGAAUGCUUUACACAUGCAAGUCGAGCGGCAGCGCGGGGCAACCUGGCGGCGAGCGGCGAACGGGUGAGUAACGCAUCGGAACAUGUCCAUGUCGUGGGGGAUAGCCCGGCGAAAGCCGGAUUAAUACCGCAUACGCCCGAGAGGGGAAAGUGGGGGACCGCAAGGCCUCACGCGAUUGGGUUGGCCGAUGUCCGAUUAGCUAGUUGGCGGGGUAAGAGCCCACCAAGGCGAUGAUCGGUAGCUGGUCUGAGAGGAUGAUCAGCCACACUGGGACUGAGACACGGCCCAGACUCCUACGGGAGGCAGCAGUGGGGAAUUUUGGACAAUGGGGGCAACCCUGAUCCAGCCAUUCCGCGUGAGUGAAGAAGGCCUUCGGGUUGUAAAGCUCUUUUGUCCGGAGCGAAACGGUUACGGCGAAUACCCGUGACUACUGACGGUACCGGGAGAAUAAGCACCGGCUAACUACGUGCCAGCAGCCGCGGUAAUACGUAGGGUGCGAGCGUUAAUCGGAAUUACUGGGCGUAAAGGGUGCGCAGGCGGUUUUGUAAGCCAGAUGUGAAAUCCCCGGGCUUAACCUGGGAAUGGCAUUUGGGACUGCAAGGCUAGAGUGCGGCAGAGGAGACUGGAAUUCCUGGUGUAGCAGUGAAAUGCGUAGAUAUCAGGAGGAAUACCGAUGGCGAAGGCAGGUCUCUGGGCUGACACUGACGCUCAUGCACGAAAGCGUGGGGAGCAAACAGGAUUAGAUACCCUGGUAGUCCACGCCCUAAACGAUGUCGACUGGUUGUUGGGGGGUUUGACACUCUCAGUAACGAAGCUAACGCGUGAAGUCGACCGCCUGGGGAGUACGGCCGCAAGGUUAAAACUCAA
Molecule: ribosomal RNA, 897 nt
Filed under: uncultured bacterium
Lineage: Bacteria
Description: bacterial SSU rRNA
Rfam family: Bacterial small subunit ribosomal RNA
Source: RNAcentral